Molecule: long non-coding RNA, 133 nt
Organism: Octopus sinensis (East Asian common octopus)
Lineage: Eukaryota; Metazoa; Mollusca; Cephalopoda; Octopoda; Octopodidae
Exons: 3
Source: RefSeq, a predicted model, not a curated record
AGUGACGUCACAAUGUGUAACUGUAAAAGAUGUCAUGCCGCAGGAAGAUAGUCCGACUUUAUAGCGCUAAGUUUUCAGAUGAAAUGACUGAUAACUGAUGACUGUUUAACAUUUUAUAUAUACACCUGAAGAA